Chelonia mydas (Green sea turtle) is the source of this 2239-nucleotide long non-coding RNA. RefSeq lists it as uncharacterized. NCBI's taxonomy places the organism in Eukaryota, Metazoa, Chordata, Testudines, Cheloniidae. The record is from RefSeq and is a predicted model, not a curated record. The transcript is spliced from 4 exons.
CUGAAGAAGUCUCAUUCUAGUCCUGGAGUGGGAAAGGCUAGCUGCCUGGGAGCAAGAAUUAUGGGGCCCGAUCCUGUUUCACAACCAAAAGUCCCUCUGAAGUCCGGGGAGUGACACAGAGAAUGCAAGAUCAGGGCAUUUGACAUGGUACCACACAACAUUAGUGGUGAAAUCUGUAGUCGGAGUUAUUUUGGAUCCCAGAGAACUGUAUGAAGUGUUCUUUCAAAAUUGGACACUGUUCUGGAGAAGCAGAGUGGAGAAGGUCUCAGAGAGAAUCCCAUUAGUGGUACUGUGACUCAUAUCUGGAUCCAUUCAUCUGGAGCAGCUGGCUGUGUGCUUUGGAAGCAGAAACCAACCCAGCACCAAGAAAGAUCAGUGAAUAUAAGAAAUGGAGUUUAUCCAUCAACAAAAGUUGGAUUGAAUUGUAAUGCAAAGUAAAUGUUAUUGGGAAGAAAAACUUAUAUGGUAGUGUUUUGUAACUAGACAAAAUAAUUGUAUUAAAACUAAGCAAUUAUAUAAAAGAGAUUGAAAUGCCCUAGAUUAGAAAGAAAUCCAACUAAUGCCUUACGGUUCAUGGUAUGAAAGAAAUAUUGUUUAAUAAGUUAAUUGAAUUUCACUAAUCUGCAGUCACUGGGGUUUGAUCUAAAAUGGUUAAAAACUAUUGAAGGGACUUUAUAUACCAAAAACUAAACUUUUUAAAUGUGUAAACCUGUGAAAGUGGGGCAGCAACAAAACAUGGGAACUGAGCUGUUUGGGAUUGGUAUGUCGCUCUGAAACCACGCUGACAGAGACACUGUGGAAACAUGACCAAGCAUUUCAACAGAAGCUAGCAGCAGAAGUACUGUAUCCAUUACAUGAGCACGUGUUUCAGCCAGAAUUAGCAUCUGAUUUGAAAAUCAACGAAGCAAAGAAUUUAAUGAUAAAGAGUUUUUAACUAUUUUACAGUAUGAUGUUGUACAUUUUUUUAACUUUAUCAUAAAAGGUAAAAGGCAAAAACAAUGAUGUACACAAUAUGGGAAAUAUAUUCUACAUAAAGUAAAAGAGGCAUAGAACAAAGAGGGUUGCCCUCUUUUAUCACCACAGAAAGGUUAAAAAUGUGGUAUAAGGGAGGUAAUAUUAAUUGGUAUAGGGCAAGAAAAUUAACAAGAGUCCAAUACCAUAAGGUUAAACGUGGAAAGCAUUACAAUUCAUAUGAUGUGGAGGAAGGUGUUUUUUUUCCCCCCAUCCUCAAAUACUGUUGCAAAACAAUGCAAAGUCUGGCAAGCCCUGGACUUGUACCACUGUUUGCACCUGAGGGAUACUUACAUGUGCAGGUUCAAUGUCUUACAAACAAAAUUGCUGGCAUGUGGGUUCACUCUGGGGAAACAGUCUCCAAAGUGCAGAGUGUGGUUGAGACCUUGGGAUACUGUUAAAACAAAACAAAACAAAACAAAAACCUGCCUGUGCUGGUGAUGACAAGUAUUGUGUGGUGGCUGAAGAGGACCACUUUUGGUAUGGACCCAGGUUGUGUUAUAUUAAUUGGCCUAUGUUCUGUUUCACACCUUAAUUUCCUGUGGUGAUAAAUGGAAAGAUUUUUCUAUUUUCCACCAGUUUUUCACAAUGUAAUUAAAGUAAAAGCAAAGUUAAAAUUACAGAAGGAUGCUUUAAAGGAAAGCAAGCUUAUAAUGCGGGAUUACACCCUGGUGGGCUGUACCAGGGGAGGUUAGCUUGCACCCAUUUCAUUCUUUAAUCCUAAUAUUGAUGGUGGUUCAAAUAAUUACAACUACAUGUGUUGCUGGGUAAUAAAUUUGAAAAAAGGUAGCACAGAAAGAUAGGAAUAUGAUAUAACUAAUUAACACUUGGAGGGAGGCCUCAUUUCCUGGAGGAUACAAGUACAGAAGUAAACAGAUCAUUAGGCUGAAAACAGAAAGUUUGUUCUAAAUAAGAUAUGUAAAUAGGUCAGUAGGCUAUGAAGACAAAGUCUGACUCAGAUAAGAUAAAAGGGAGAACACCCAGGGGACCUUUUACUAUUAACAAGAUCACAAUGGGCAAGAAUGGAAUGUAGAUAUGAGGAGAAGAGUAGGUUGAGAGUAGAAAAUGUAUGGACAGAACAUGCUGCACAGGGCUUGGUUCCUGUGAAGUAACCAAUCCAAUCCAAAAAUGUGUGAUGUGAUGUAAUGUGUACGUGUAUAUAAAGGAAGAGGUUUUCUGUGUAACUUUGGAUGUGUGGUAUACCCUAUAUCCACCUCCAAUGCCCAAG